GUCGUGAGAUGUUGGGUUAAGUCCCGCAACGAGCGCAACCCUCGUCCCUAGUUACCAGCGGGUUAUGCCGGGCACUCUAGGGAGACUGCCGGUGUCAAACCGGAGGAAGGUGGGGAUGACGUCAAGUCAUCAUGGCCCUUACGUCCAGGGCGACACACGUGCUACAAUGGCCGGUACAACGGGCGGCGAAACCGCGAGGUGGAGCAAAUCCCUUAAAGCCGGUCUCAGUUCGGAUUGUAGGCUGCAACUCGCCUACAUGAAGCCGGAGUUGCUAGUAACCGCAGGUCAGCAUUACUGCGGUGAAUAUGUUCCCGGGCCUUGUACACACCGCCCGUCACGUCAUGAAAGCUGGCAACACCCGAAGCCGGUGGGCCAACCGCAAGGAGGCAGCCGUCGAAGGUGGGGUCGGUGAUUGGGGACGAAGUCGUAACAAGGUAGCCGUACCGGAAGGUGCGGCUGGAUCACCUCCUUUCUAGGGAGAUCCGAGUCCCGACUCUUCGGUGGGGUCGGGGGCGUUGAAGGCUCCCAGGUUGAUCGCCCGGUCGUUCACAGUCUUCCGUCAGGUGGACUGCGCUGGAACAGGUCCGCGAGGACCCGCCCAGAGACCGAUCGCGACCUGACGAAAACACCGAAACCCGUUCACCAUCCACGUCUGGAAUUCCUGUCACUCUUCAAGGGUUAAGGGUGCAGCCGCCGGCGGCGACCGUUGUCGACCGUAGUCGGCACGGCCCCGGCGGGCGUUUAGCUCAGCUGGUUAGAGCACUGCCCUGAUAAGGCAGAGGUCUCUGGUUCGAGUCCAGAAACGCCCACCACACAUCCCGCGAGGCAAGGGGACGUAGCUCAGUUGGCAGAGCAUCUCCUUUGCAAGGAGAGGGUCAGGAGUUCGAGUCUCCUCGUCUCCACCACCCGCUCCGGGAGAGCAGCGGAGGAUCAGAACCUGCGCAAGGCCGCACCACAUCUGAACUGAAGAACCCGGGCAGACCCGGAACGACCCGCAACCGAAGGCGCUGUCCUCUGACGGCUCCGAGGCCUGGUCCUCGAGCCGUCUUUGUGUGUCCGCCACCAUCGAGCCCCUGAUCCGUGAUCUCUCGCACGACGUGCAAGAGCUCACCGACCAGCGGAACGCUGGAAGACCGAACCGGCCCUUGGCCGGCCAGGAACGUAGCCCGAGCGAUCGGGCCGCACCUUAACAACUGGAUAUGUAUGUUCGGCAGUAAAUCGAUCUUCGAUUUCGCCGAGUUAAUUCAAGGAUACGAUCCCGAUCGAUCCCAUCUACGCACCUGGCCGCCUGGUCAGAUGCUGGAGGGGGUCAAGCUACAAAGGGCACGGGGUGGAUGCCUUGGCGCCAAGAGCCGAUGAAGGACGUGGCAGGCUGCGUAAAGCUUCGGGGAGUCGCGAGCAGACUUUGAUCCGGAGAUGU
This 1420-nucleotide small RNA is filed under the name uncultured Gemmatimonas sp. RNAcentral describes it as "bacterial SSU rRNA". The stretch from base 1 to 472 matches the Rfam family "Bacterial small subunit ribosomal RNA", at positions 1064 to 1533 of the family's 1533-position model. Lineage: Bacteria; Pseudomonadati; Gemmatimonadota; Gemmatimonadia; Gemmatimonadales; Gemmatimonadaceae. The record is from RNAcentral.